AGAGCGAACGCUGGCGGCAGGCCUAACACAUGCAAGUCGAGCGCCCGUAGCAAUACGGGAGCGGCAGACGGGAGAGUAACACGUGGGAACGUACCCUUCGGUUCGGAACAACCCAGGGAAACUUGGGCUAAUACCGGAUACGUCCGUAAGGAGAAAGAUUUAUCGCCGAAGGAUCGGCCCGCGUCUGAUUAGCUAGUUGGUGAGGUAACGGCUCACCAAGGCGACGAUCAGUAGCUGGUCUGAGAGGAUGAUCAGCCUCACUGGGACUGAGACACGGUCCAGACUCCUACGGGAGGCAGCAGUGGGGAAUUUGCGCAAUGGGGGAAACCCUGACGCAGCAACGCCGCGUGGAGGAUGAAGUCCCUUGGGACGUAAACUCCUUUCGAUCGGGACGAUAAUGACGGUACCGAGAGAAGAAGCCCCGGCUAACUUCGUGCCAGCAGCCGC
This 447-nucleotide ribosomal RNA is filed under the name uncultured bacterium. RNAcentral describes it as "SSU rRNA". It matches the Rfam family "Bacterial small subunit ribosomal RNA", at positions 26 to 518 of the family's 1533-position model. The record is from RNAcentral.